RNAcentral lists this ribosomal RNA (253 nucleotides) under uncultured bacterium. Its description in RNAcentral is "partial 16S ribosomal RNA". It matches the Rfam family "Bacterial small subunit ribosomal RNA", at positions 524 to 776 of the family's 1533-position model. The record is from RNAcentral.
GACAGAGGGUGCGAACGUUGUUCGGAAUUACUGGGCGUAAAGGGCGCGUAGGCGGCCCGCUAAGUCAGACGUGAAAUCCCUCGGCUCAACCGGGGAACUGCGUCUGAUACUGGCAGGCUUGAAUCCGGGAGAGGGAUGUGGAAUUCCAGGUGUAGCGGUGAAAUGCGUAGAUAUCUGGAGGAACACCGGUGGCGAAGGCGGCAUCCUGGACCGGUAUUGACGCUGAGGCGCGAAAGCCAGGGGAGCAAACGGG